CUAUGGGCGCAGCAGGCGAGGAAACCUUUGCAAUGUGCGAAAGCACGACAAGGUAAUCCGAGUGUCUCCUGCUAAAGGAGUCUUUCGUCAGUUGUAGAAUCACUGGUGAAUAAGGGGUGGGCAAGUUCUGGUGUCAGCCGCCGCGGUAAAACCAGCACCUCGAGUGGUCAGGAGGUUUAUUGGGCCUAAAGCAUCCGUAGCCGGUUGCAUAAGUUUUCGGUUAAAUCUAUGCGCUUAACGUAUAGGCCGCCGAAAAUACUGUGCAGCUAGGGAGUGGGAGAGGUACACGGUACUCGAUAGGAAGGGGUAAAAUCCUUUGAUCUAUUGAAGACCACCUGUGGGGAAGGCGGUGUACCAGAACACGUUCGACGGUGAGGGAUGAAAGCUGGGGGAGCAAACCGGAUUAGAUACCCGGGUAGUCCCAGCUGUAAACGAUGCAGACUCGGUGAUGCAUUGGCUUGUGGCCAAUGCAGUGCCGCAGGGAAGCCGUUAAGUCUGCCGCCUGGGAAGUACGUACGCAAGUAUGAACUUAAGGAUUGGCGGGGGAGCACCACAAGGGGUGAAGCCUGCGGUUCAUUGGAGUCAACGCCA
Molecule: ribosomal RNA, 591 nt
Filed under: uncultured archaeon
Lineage: Archaea
Description: bacterial SSU rRNA
Rfam family: Archaeal small subunit ribosomal RNA
Source: RNAcentral